RNAcentral lists this long non-coding RNA (844 nucleotides) under Pan troglodytes (chimpanzee). RNAcentral's name for it is "lncRNA (ENSPTRG00000054148.1)". The record is from RNAcentral. Lineage: Eukaryota; Metazoa; Chordata; Mammalia; Primates; Hominidae.
GUUGGCAAUCAUCAUGAGCCCCUGUUCUCAUUCUGCAAAUGGUGAAGCUCUCUAUUGUCCUGACCCCACAGUUCCUGUUCCAUGAGCAGGGCCAGCUCACCAAGGAGCUGCAGCAGCACGUAAAGUCAGUGACAUGCCCAUGCGAGUACCUGAGGAAGACGAUCCUACACCUGCCACCUCCGAUGGAUCCACUGCGUCUGUGCCUGCCUGUACUGCCGAUGCUCCAGUGGAUAACUCAGCAUCCCAGCCUAGGCCCAAUGCCACUGAAGAUGGACCUGCCCCCUGGGGACCCAGGAGUCCUACCACUCAGCUGUCCCCAGGAGUGCCCAGACCCUCAUUGUUAUCCAGGACCUAGGAGCCCUACCCCUGGCCUUCCCUUAUCAGCCGUAAAUGAUGAUUUACUGCUGUUACCAUCAUCACUGCCUUCAGUGACCAAGGGCCUUCCAAGGUGCCAGCUCUGGAACGAAGGAUGCCCUUGGGAGGUGAUGACACUCAGGUUGAUGGACGGAUGGCUACAUGGAUGUGAUGGAGAUGGUUUACUAUCGGGACCUUCCGCAUCCUGCUGAUGUUUUGUUGCUUAGGAUAUGAAUGGCUGAGCGGAGGCUGUAAAACCUGGCACUCUGCUUGGGUAUGAGGUUCUUCCUGCCAUCCUGCCAUCAUUUGUUUUUUAUGUUUUGUCGCCAAAAGUGACCUUGAGGAACCCUGGGAGCUCAGGAAGGAAGGAGCGCCCAGAAGCAGGGACAGGGAGCUGGUUGGGAGGCACCAGAAAUCAGGGUUUGUGAAGGUUCCAAGAGAGGACCUGGCCUGGAGGAGCGUGCGGGGGACUGAGAUGGGGAGGUCUUGG